UACGUAGGGUGCGAGCGUUGUCCGGAAUUAUUGGGCGUAAAGGGCUCGUAGGCGGUUUGUCGCGUCGGGAGUGAAAACCUCGGGCUUAACUCGGGGCUUGCUUUCGAUACGGGCAGACUAGAGGUAUGCAGGGGAGAACGGAAUUCCUGGUGUAGCGGUGAAAUGCGCAGAUAUCAGGAGGAACACCGGUGGCGAAGGCGGUUCUCUGGGCCGAUACUGACGCUGAGGAGCGAAAGCGUGGGGAGCGAACAGG
This 253-nucleotide ribosomal RNA is filed under the name uncultured bacterium. RNAcentral describes it as "partial 16S ribosomal RNA". It matches the Rfam family "Bacterial small subunit ribosomal RNA", at positions 524 to 776 of the family's 1533-position model. The record is from RNAcentral.